RNAcentral lists this ribosomal RNA (270 nucleotides) under uncultured bacterium. Its description in RNAcentral is "partial 16S ribosomal RNA". It matches the Rfam family "Bacterial small subunit ribosomal RNA", at positions 29 to 290 of the family's 1533-position model. The record is from RNAcentral.
AACGAACGUUAGCGGCGCGCCUAACACAUGCAAGUCGAACGCGACAGGGGCAACUCUGUUGAGUGGCGCACGGGUGAGUAACACGUAGGUAAUCUCCCCCGAGUGGUGGAUAACCCUCCGAAAGGAGAGCUAAUACAGCAUAAGACCACGGCUUCGAAAGGAGCUGAGGUCAAAGCGGAGGAUCGUAAGACUUCGCGCUUGGGGAUGAGCCUGCGGCCCAUCAGGUAGUUGGCGGGGUAAUGGCCCACCAAGCCAUAGACGGGUAGCUGG